Molecule: long non-coding RNA, 269 nt
Filed under: Callithrix jacchus (white-tufted-ear marmoset)
Lineage: Eukaryota; Metazoa; Chordata; Mammalia; Primates; Cebidae
Description: lncRNA (ENSCJAG00000074323.1)
Source: RNAcentral
CUGUUAUGGAGCUGACACUACACAAAGCACUGCAGUUUACAAAAUGAGUAGGACAUGGCCCCUUCCCAUAUGGACCUAUUAGCCUGCUACAGGAGCAAGGUACCAUAUUGGAUGGAAGCAGAGAACAUCCCUCACCAAAUAAUCAGCCUUGCUGGUGGCUUCAUUGUGAACUUCUCAGCCCAGAAUGGUGAGAAAAUAAAUUUCUCUUCCUUAUAGAUUACCCAGUGUCAGAUAUUUUGAUGUAGCACCACAAACAGACUAAGGCAGAG